GAUGUGAUCAUCGAAUCUUUAGAACGCACAUUGCGCCCUAUGGUAUUCCAUAGGGCAUGCCUGUUUGAGCGUCAUUUCUCUCUCAAAUCUUCGGAUUUGGUUUUGAGUGAUACUCUUAGUCAGACUAAGCGUUUGCUUGAAAUGUAUUGGCAUGAGUGGUACUAGAUAGUGCUGAACUGUUUCAAUGUAUUAGGUUUAUCCAACUCGUUGACCAGUAUAGUAUUUGUUUAUUACACAGGCUCGGCCUUACAACAACAAACAAAGUUUGACCUCAAAUCAGGUAGGACUACCCGCUGAACUUAAGCUUAUCAAUAAGCGGAGGAAUC
This 326-nucleotide ribosomal RNA is filed under the name uncultured Candida. Its description in RNAcentral is "eukaryotic LSU rRNA". The stretch from base 1 to 74 matches the Rfam family "5.8S ribosomal RNA", at positions 81 to 154 of the family's 154-position model. Lineage: Eukaryota; Fungi; Ascomycota; Saccharomycetes; Saccharomycetales. The record is from RNAcentral.